UGAGGAAUAUUGGGCAAUGGGCGAAAGCCUGACCCAGCCACGCCGCGUGAGUGAUGAAGGCCUUCGGGUCGUAAAGCUCUGUGGGGAGGGACGAAAAAGCGCAGUAGGAAAUGACUGCGCCUUGACGGUACCUCCUUAGCAAGCACCGGCUAACUCUGUGCCAGCAGCCGCGGUAAUACAGAGGGUGCGAACGUUGCUCGGAUUUACUGGGCGUAAAGCGCGUGUAGGCGGACUCGCAAGUCGGUUGUGAAAUCCCUGGGCUCAACCUAGGAACUGCAUCCGAAACUGCUUGUCUUGAGUAAUGGAGAGGGUGGCGGAAUUCCCGGUGUAGAGGUGAAAUUCGUAGAUAUCGGGAGGAACACCAGUGGCGAAGGCGGCCACCUGGACAUUCACUGACGCUGAGACGCGAAAGCGUGGGGAGCAAACAGGAUUAGAUACCCCCGUAGUCC
RNAcentral lists this ribosomal RNA (449 nucleotides) under uncultured prokaryote. RNAcentral's name for it is "bacterial SSU rRNA". It matches the Rfam family "Bacterial small subunit ribosomal RNA", at positions 355 to 796 of the family's 1533-position model. The record is from RNAcentral.